GAUGAACGCUGGCGGCGUGCCUAAUACAUGCAAGUCGAGCGAACGGACGAGAAGCUUGCUUCUCUGAUGUUAGCGGCGGACGGGUGAGUAACACGUGGAUAACCUACCUAUAAGACUGGGAUAACUUCGGGAAACCGGAGCUAAUACCGGAUGAUAUUUUGAACCGCAUGGUUCAAAAGUGAAAGACGGUCUUGCUGUCACUUAUAGAUGGAUCCGCGCUGCAUUAGCUAGUUGGUAAGGUAACGGCUUACCAAGGCAACGAUGCAUAGACGACCUGAGAGGGUGAUCGGCCACACUGGAACUGAGACACGGUCCAGACUCCUACGGGAGGCAGCAGUAGGGAAUCUUCCGCAAUGGGCGAAAGCCUGACGGAGCAACACCGCGUGAGUGAUGAAGGUCUUCGGAUCGUAAAACUCUGUUAUUAGGGAAGAACAUAUGUGUAAGUAACUGUGCACAUCUUGACGGUACCUAAUCAGAAAGCCACGGCUAACUACGUG
Molecule: ribosomal RNA, 497 nt
Filed under: uncultured bacterium
Lineage: Bacteria
Description: partial 16S ribosomal RNA
Rfam family: Bacterial small subunit ribosomal RNA
Source: RNAcentral